RNAcentral lists this ribosomal RNA (497 nucleotides) under uncultured bacterium. Its description in RNAcentral is "partial 16S ribosomal RNA". It matches the Rfam family "Bacterial small subunit ribosomal RNA", at positions 28 to 507 of the family's 1533-position model. The record is from RNAcentral.
GAUGAACGCUGGCGGCGUGCCUAAUACAUGCAAGUCGAGCGAACAGAUGAGGCGCUUGCUCCUCUGACGUUAGCGGCGGACGGGUGAGUAACACGUGGAUAACCUACCUAUAAGACUGGGAUAACUUCGGGAAACCGGAGCUAAUACCGUAUAAUAUAUUGAACCGCAUGGUUCAAUAGUGAAAGACGGUGUUGCUGUCACUUAUAGAUGGAUCCGCGCCGCAUUAGCUAGUUGGUAAGGUAACGGCUUACCAAGGCAACGAUGCGUAGCCGACCUGAGAGGGUGAUAGGCCACACGGGAACUGAGACACGGUCAAGAAUACUACGGGAGGCAGCAGAAGGGAACCUUCCGCAAUGGGCGAAAGCAUGACGGAGCAACGCCGAGUGAGUGAUGAAGGUCUUCGGAGCGUAAAAAUCUGUUAUUAGGGAAGAACAAAUGUGUAAGUAACUAUGCACGUAUUGACGGUAACUAAUCAGAAAGCCACGGCUAACUACGUG